This 199-nucleotide ribosomal RNA is filed under the name uncultured bacterium. Its description in RNAcentral is "partial 16S ribosomal RNA". It matches the Rfam family "Bacterial small subunit ribosomal RNA", at positions 1300 to 1500 of the family's 1533-position model. The record is from RNAcentral.
GAAGGCUGAAAUUCGCCUUCAUGAAGCCGGAAUUGCUAGUAAUGGCAGGUCAGCAUACUGCCGUGAAUACGUUCCCGGGCCUUGUACACACCGCCCGUCACACCAUGAGAGUUGGAGAUACCCGAAGCCUGUGAGCUAACAAACGAGGCAGCAGUCGAAGGUAGAAUCAAUGAUUGGGGUGAAGUCGUAACAAGGUAGC